AAGUUGUUAAUAAUUUAAUUAAUAUAUAUGGUUUAAAUAUUAAAUUUUGUUUAAUUAAUAUGUAUGAUUUAAACUUUAAUUUUUUUUUUCGUAAAUAUUUUGAAUGAAUUUUAUAUUAGGUUACUGAUAAAUGAAUUCGGAUAUUCGGAUAUCCGAAUAAUUUGUCUAUUCGGAUAAAAUAAACGGUAACGGAUAUUAUCCGUAUUCGAAUAUUUUUCCGAAUACCGGAUACGGAUAAUAUUUUUAAAAUCCGCCGGAUACCGGAUACGGAUAGCGAAUUGAUUUUCCGAAUACGGAUACGGAUAUACCUGUUUCCGUAUCCGUUUAAUACCGUUUACACCCCUAAUAAGGGCUUUGCCUAUAACCAAUCACAGUAUCAUAAAACAUCACUUACUCCCAAUUGGAUAAAAUAAAAAACUCAACUAAUUGAUCUCAGUUUAAUUGAAACAAGAAGGUUUGAUUAUUAUAUCGUGGCAUUUGCUUGCUAAUUAAAUUCGCACUUGGUCUAGAAUGGGUAGCUUGGAUUUGGCCGGACGGUGAGGGGAGAAGAAGGGGAGGAGAGACCGAGUAUUUAUAGGCAAAUCACCUUGCCUUCCACGAAAAUUUCUUGGUCCCUAAGCCUUUUGGGGCGCAGGGCUUCCACCACCGAAUCGCCACCUCCUGCUUCAUCUCUCCAUCUCUACCAGCUCCUGCUCUUUCUUCUUCCCCUUUUUCCGAAAUUGCCCUAACUGCUAUAUUGUUCCUUCCUUUUUUUUUUCCCAAUUCGGCGGUUAUAUGGCCAAAGGCUAUGUUUGGUUGGCGUAAUUUAUUAAUCCUCUAGUUAGGUUUUUA
RNAcentral lists this long non-coding RNA (831 nucleotides) under Panax ginseng (ginseng). RNAcentral's name for it is "long non-coding RNA (PGIN_LNC004099)". The record is from RNAcentral. Lineage: Eukaryota; Viridiplantae; Streptophyta; Magnoliopsida; Apiales; Araliaceae.